GAUGAACGCUGGCGGCGUGCCUAAUACAUGCAAGUCGAGCGAACGGACGAGAAGCUUGCUUCUCUGAUGUUAGCGGCGGACGGGUGAGUAACACGUGGAUAACCUACCUAUAAGACUGGGAUAACUUCGGGAAACCGGAGCUAAUACCGGAUAAUAUUUUGAACCGCAUGGUUCAAAUGUGAAAGACGGUCUUGCUGUCACUUAUAGAUGGAUCCGCGCUGCAUUAGCUAGUUGGUAAGGUAACGGCUUACCAAGGCAACGAUGCAUAGCCGACCUGAGAGGGUGAUCGGCCACACUGGAACUGAGACACGGUCCAGACUCCUACGGGAGGCAGCAGUAGGGAAUCUUCCGCAAUGGGCGAAAGCCUGACGGAGCAACGCCGCGUGAGUGAUGAAGGUCUUCGGAUCGUAAAACUCUGUUAUUAGGGAAGAACAUAUGUGUAAGUAACUGUGCACAUCUUGACGGUACCUAAUCAGAAAGCCACGGCUAACUACGU
RNAcentral lists this ribosomal RNA (496 nucleotides) under uncultured bacterium. RNAcentral describes it as "partial 16S ribosomal RNA". It matches the Rfam family "Bacterial small subunit ribosomal RNA", at positions 28 to 506 of the family's 1533-position model. The record is from RNAcentral.